RNAcentral lists this long non-coding RNA (3312 nucleotides) under Lactuca sativa (garden lettuce). RNAcentral describes it as "long non-coding RNA (LSAT_LNC006303)". The record is from RNAcentral. Lineage: Eukaryota; Viridiplantae; Streptophyta; Magnoliopsida; Asterales; Asteraceae.
GAGGGGCAAAAUUGUCCGAAAUAAUCACGGGAACACACCCAUAGAAAAUAGCCUCCACUACCCUUGGACUAUUGACCUCAUACCCUUUAGCACAUAUACAAAACUUGCUAGUUUUCAUGUAUUCGAUAUAGUUUUUAUUGUUUUUGGAUUUUGGGAGUUUUUUGAAGAUUUUAAUUUCAGGAUCUUUGUUUUCCCAGUGGUGUAGGAGAAUCGGGCGGAGGUCUCCGUGCAUUCGGCCGGCGAAAAAGGCGAGGGUUGACCGUUUUGAAGGGGGUUGACCACCGAAUUGUUUCAAUGGAUUUUUUGAUGAUUGAAUCGUUGUUUCAGGUAAUGCAACGUCUUUUCCUAAUUCGAAUCCUUCGUUUUUGACAUCGGAAUUGCACAUUGCGCGAAUGCAAUUGUUCAUGUAUUUCUUUGUUUCAGAUGGGGCCUUAAAUAUCAUAAAAAUGUAAGCGAUUGUGUUAAAAGGGCAUUAUGAUAUCAAGGAAAGAGGAAUGGAAUGAGAAUUUCAUAGCUUAUGCUUACCCAAUCGUGACAUGCAACAAGGAAAUGAUCAGAUCCAGAAGUUCUAUUCCAGAAACUGUAUCUUCCAGAAAUUAAAUCAAGGUAUUUCUUCAAAUACUGAAUUAAGUUUUUGUGAGUAUGAGAAUCAACAACGUAUAAUUUUUCUUCCAACAUUCUUGAGCUAAAAGGUAAGUAGAAAAGAUGAGCUUCUUUUGGUUUUUUAGUGACGAAAUGUUUGCUUGCUUUCAUGUGUUUCAUAAACCAUCCUUCAGAUGCGUAUAUUCCUUUUAGCACUGCUUGUGGUUGAUGAAAUAUAGGCUUUUCUCCCUCCUUGUAUAUGUAUACCUUGAGUGUUUUUUCCAUUAAUUCAUAGCUCCUGAAUUUAAUAUUAAUAAUAAUAAUAAUAUGAUAAUUGUAAUAAUGCAUGUGCACUUGUUUUUUAUUCAAUGGAUGAAGUGUUAUAUGGGUAAUGAACUAAUGAUGUCUNNNNNNNNNNNNNNNNNNNNNNNNNNNNNNNNNNNNNNNNNNNNNNNNNNNNNNNNNNNNNNNNNNNNNNNNNNNNNNNNNNNNNNNNNNNNNNNUAGAUAUGACAAACAUAGAUAAUAGACUACAAAUCAAACCUUGAAACAUUAACAUUAAGGGAAAUGGAAAAAAUAAAUGACCGUUUUACCCUUAGAUUAAAAAUGAUGUGAUUUUUGGGUUUUGUAAAUUUUGGCUUGUGUGUACCUUUUAAAUGACCAUUUUACCCUUAUAUUAAGAAAUGACAAAAAUAAAUGACCAUUUUACACUUCGAUUAAAAAUUAAGUUGUAAAUUUUGGUGUUUUGUAAUUUUUGGGUUGUGUACCUUCUAAAUGACCAUUUUACCCUUAUAUUAAGAAAUUAAAGAUAUAAACAAGACUACAACUCAAACCUUGAAACAAUAACAUAAAGGGAAAUGGCAAAAAUAAAUGACCAUUUUACCCUUAUAUUAAGAAAUGACAAAAGUAGAUGGCCAUUUUACCCUUGGAUUAAAAACUUAGUUGUAAGUUAUGGGUUGUGUGUACCUUUUAAACCUUGAAACAUUAACAUAAAGAGAAGGAUCAAGUGUGAGAUCAUUUUCAAUGAAAGGAGCAUUCUCGAUCUGAAAUUUUGCAUCUAAUAAUUCUUGAUCAACUGCUGAAGACCAUCUUGGUUUCUAUAAAAACACAAAAAGACACCAUUUUUAAAAGCAACAAAUUCAUAUGAUUAUAAUUACAAGUUAAGAAAUAAAAAAUUCAAACCAUUGAACGAAAUGAAGCACGAUUAUGACCUAACAUCUCACGCAUCUCUGAAAUUGUCACUACUUCCCCCAUUGUUCCAUGAUCAUUACUUCCGUUAACUUGAGGACCUUCAUUUGCAGAUGAUGAUUUAUCAAAAUCAUGGAAAGAUUUUGAUGUAUCUAUGUCUAUUUUAGGAUCACUUUGUGUUGUAGUAUUCAAUGUUGUUGGUGAAGAUGGUGAAAUUGAUGGUGGAAGAAGAAUUGAAGGUAUACUAACAGGCUUUGUGUAAUUAGAUCCAUGAAAAUGAGUGAUGUUUUUAACAAUUUGAGGGAUUUGAGAUGAAUCUUUAGGUGGGAAGCUUUCAUUUUUGAGUUUUUGAGGACUGUUUGCAGAGAAUAAAGAUGAUAUAACAUCACCAUAUGGAAACUCUAAAUACUGGAACAUCAUGAAAACAGCAAAUACCACUGCUACAAGGUACACCAGUCUCUUGGUUUCCAUUAAAGAAUGAAGCUUUUGACCCAUUUAUGUAACACAAGGAUCCUACAACCCCUGCAAGAAUACUCAGUUAUUUUUACUGGAAAUGAAUGAUUAUUGAAAAAGCCACUUGGAAUGUUUAUUGGAGGAAUUUAAGGUGCAAAACUUCUUUAAUUAAGAAAGAUUACAAACGAUAACAUUGGAUUCUUAGUGUGCCACAAUCGAGUAACAUGUUUAAUUAGCCUAAAUUAAUGUUAAUAAAAAACUAAAAAGUAGAUUAAAGUUACUACCUUGUCCCACAUUCAGCAUAGGAUGUGAUUUGAACUUGAGCACUAAUGUGUUGUUUUUGAGGUUAGAAACAUAGAAUUGAUAUAACUUUUGAACUUUUUGAGAGAAAUUGCUAAUUACAUUAAACUUUAUCAUGUUAAAUUAUCGUAUAUAAGAUAAAAAAUUUGGAAGCAUAGCUCUUGUACAAAAACAGAGGGAAGAAAACUACAAAUUAACUUCUGUGUCAACUAAAGAAACUUCGAGCGAACUCCCUAAAUUUUGCUAGUUAAUACAUAGUAAAAAAAACUAAUUAUCAACCAAAUUUUGCUCAUUAAGUAAAGAAAGGAUCAACAAACUCCAUAAACACGAAGUAAGUGCAUAAUAAAGAAACCAAAUAAAAACCCUAGGAAAAAAAUACGAAAACUUCAAUUUAUCGAGUGAUCCACUUGAACAAUCAAUUAACAUCAAAUUCCACCACAAUAACUUCCUUCUAUCAAAAAAUUCAAACCGGAGGAAAAAAGGAAUAGAAACAUCCCUAAUUCAGUAAUUUCAUCGUUUGCUAUUUCAGUCAAAGAAAGUUAGCUACAGAUCAUAAAUUUGACACGUAUUUUCCUUUCUUCUAUUGUUCAACGAUCUUUGUUAAAAUCAAAGUAGAUCGGCUGAUAAGACUAAUUAUCUACAUUUGCUAAGAGUUACCUGAAGGAGAGCUGCUGCCAUGGACGACUGAUUUGGAAGGUUGCUCAAAGUUUUACGCCAGAAGUGUAGCAGAAGCAGAGGAGAAGAAUAUAUUAUUUUGGCUUGAUUGAGAAAUGAUUAUUCGAGCCGUUAU